RNAcentral lists this long non-coding RNA (721 nucleotides) under Homo sapiens (human). RNAcentral's name for it is "non-protein coding lnc-BDP1-4:2". The record is from RNAcentral. Lineage: Eukaryota; Metazoa; Chordata; Mammalia; Primates; Hominidae.
GGGUAGUAGAACAAUGGGAUUAUGCUGUCACAAAAAACAAAGAAAAAACAUAAUUUCUUAAAUCAUGGUCUGUCACUGAAUCUGGUUAUAAAACCUUAUCUUGCACUAGAAGGAUCUGUAGCUUUUCCAGCUGAGAAUGGGGUUCAGGAUACCGAAUCAACACUAGAAAAGAGAGAAACUGGGGAUGAAGAAAACUCAGCUAAAUUUCCUAUAGGAAGGAGAGAUUUUGACAUAUUCUCAGACCACUUCUACCAAAACAUAAAUCUGUGAUUGUGAUCUCUGAAAGUCAGUCCUUUUAUCUACUCAAAAGAAGACACUAAGGUUUUCAGAAAUUAAAUUGCUUUUUGGAAAAGGUGGGAGAUUCUGGGAACAUAGAAACUUGAAUCCAGUUUUCUUCAACUCCACGUCAAGACAGUUGCAUUGUGUGAGAAAAUAGCUACGGCCAUUUGUGUAACUGAUCUGAUAAUGUCAACUUUUGAAAACAGAUAGUUAUGACUCAAGGCUUUGAGAAUGUAAAGAGACGCCCUUCACAUGUUGAGAAAUGAAGUGUGAAACUGUCAGGAAGACAGAUGAAAUGAUUUGCCUGAGGCCGUAUCAUCAAACAAGAAAUUCAUAUUCACCUUUCUGGAAUUCUUAGGAUAAUGAUUACAUGUGUUCAAUUGUUAAAAAUUGGCAGAUAAAAUUUUAUGUAUUUACCACGUACAACAUGAAAUUUUGAAAC